Molecule: ribosomal RNA, 251 nt
Filed under: uncultured bacterium
Lineage: Bacteria
Description: partial 16S ribosomal RNA
Rfam family: Bacterial small subunit ribosomal RNA
Source: RNAcentral
UACGGAGGAUGCGAGCGUUAUCCGGAUUUAUUGGGUUUAAGGGUGCGUAGGCGGACUGUCAAGUCAGCGGUAAAAUUGAGAGGCUCAACCUCUUCCCGCCGUUGAAACUGGUGGUCUUGAGUGGAUGAGAAGUACGCGGAAUGCGUGGUGUAGCGGUGAAAUGCAUAGAUAUCACGCAGAACUCCGAUUGCGAAGGCAGCGUACCGGCAUCCAACUGACGCUGAGGCACGAAAGCGUGGGGAUCAAACAGG